Long non-coding RNA from Myotis brandtii (Brandt's bat), 2164 nucleotides. RefSeq lists it as uncharacterized. The transcript is spliced from 3 exons. The record is from RefSeq and is a predicted model, not a curated record. Lineage: Eukaryota; Metazoa; Chordata; Mammalia; Chiroptera; Vespertilionidae.
GAGGGGGUCCUAGCGGAGAGGAGAGGAGGCUGGAGGGGCGUGAAGCGCAUGUGGGCUGCGAUGGGGUUGGGGAUCCAAUCCGACUGAGAGCGCUGAGUGGGCGUGGGGGCAUCUGCUGUCAGUCACUCUAGCAGCUACAGAAAGGGCAGAUCUAAAGAACUCUCCUAGGGAAAAAAUGCCGUCAUGGCAGCUGUAGCUAAAUGUACUCAAUAGGAACCGAAAAGGUAGCGAUCUCUCCCAGAUGAACCGAAAGCAAGGGGUAUUUCUAGCCCUCAUUACUUCCUUCCACUUCACUCUUGCUUGGUGUGGCUCACGUUGGAGCACCGUCCCCACGGGUCGCGGGUUCGAUUCUGGUCAGGACACAAACCCAGGUUGUGGGUUCGAUUCCCAUCAGGCGCGUGAGGGAGGCAAAGGAUCAUCUAUGUUCUCUUUACACAUCACACCAACAUUUCUCUCUCCCUCUCCCGUCCUCUCUCAAACAACAACUACAAACCACUGGUGGAAAACGUGGGAUGGAUACAUUCUACCUGAGGAAUGCCCAACAAUUCAUAGUCCUUAUCGUCAGAAUCGCUGACUUGACUCCGCUCUGAAAUCCCAGGAGAGGAAAAUGAAUCUGCUUCCCAGAGAGGAAAGUAAAAAUGCAACGUCAGUUCUCAGUGUCUCCUGGGAAUGCAGGAGGCGUGAACACAGAAUCCUGCCAUCACCAUGAGAACAAGCCCAAUGGAGGAUGAAAGGCCCCAUGGGGCAAAGCUGAGUCAUCACUGCUGAGGCCAUCCUUGACCAGACAGCCCUCAGGUGACUGCAGGGGCACAAGCAAGUCCAAAUGAGAUCGGCCAGGCUUGGUCCAGAUCAGCAGAACCACCCACCCAACUGACAUAUUCACUGGAAAUAAUACAUUGUUACUAUUUCAAGUCACCACUUGUUUAUCUAUUGCUGCAUAACCACCACCCCAAAACUAGUAGCUGAGACCACCACCAUUUACUAUUUUUCAUAAUUCUCUGAGUCAACUGGACCCAGCUGGGCACUGGCCAGAGUCACUCACUUGGCAUCUGAGCAGGAAGGUCUGAGAAGUCUUCAUUCACACAUCAGGCAUCUCAGUCUGCCGCCGCAUGACCUCUGCCUUUCCAGGUCACAGGGUUGGGCUUCCUUACAGCACGUGGUCCUUUCAGCAAGAUGGCCAGACUUCUUACCUGGCAGCUGGCUUCCAGGGGGGAAUGGACACUGCCAGUCUUCUUAAGGACUGAGCUCGGGAGUUCUAGAACACCCACUUCAUUCUAUUGGACAAAGCAGUCACAAGACCAACCAGACUUAACAGGAGAGGAAAUAGACUCACACAUUUGGUUUGAGGCAAAGCAUGUGUGUAUAAGAAUAAAAGGGCCUUAUCACAGCCAUUUUGGGGAGACUAUCUCGCCUACUAAGUUUUGGGGGGGUGGUUAUACCCUAUUAGCUACAUUCUUCUAAGCUAUGGGACCUUGGGCUAGUUAUAAAACCUUUCUGGACCUUUCAAUGAAGUGAGGGAGGUUGAGUUUCUGUAUUUAACUUUUUCUUUAGUGAUGUCUCCAGGGCAAACUGAAGUCCCAUACUAUCCAGAAAGGAGUUGCCAGGGGGAAUUUGUGGAGCAUUGGUCAGCUAUGGGUACUUCUAGUAGGUCACCUGUAUCUAUUCUUCAACUAGACACAAUCCUCAAGAAUCCACAUGAAAGGCAUGCAUUGUGGCGGCUCCAAGCAGCUUGGGUGGUGGGAGAAGGAGCAGGGGCCGGGCAGCCCAGGCUCGCAAAGGCACCCAGCAAGCACUGGCCCAGCAGCCACCCUCCCCAAGAGGAUGGUCAGCACCACACCACUGAGGGGGCGGUGAAGAGAUCCAUGGGUUGUCAGCUAUACCUGCUCCUGCAAAAGUGGAAAUGAAGAAAGAAAAAAAAAAGGCAGCAGGAAAGGAUAAAUCUGCAGACAAAAAAGUACAAACAAAGGGAAUAGGGGAAAAACAGGCUGAAGUGGCUGGCCAAGAACUUAAAGAUCUACCUGCGGGAAAUGGAGAAACUAAAAAUGAGGAGAAUCUAGCUUCAGGUGAAGCAGAAGAGAAAGAAGCCAAGUCUGAUUAGUAUCAUAUUAAUCAUAUUAAUCAUAUUAUAAGACAUAUAAUACCAUGUCUUAUCAGUGGUCCCUGU